RNAcentral lists this ribosomal RNA (265 nucleotides) under uncultured bacterium. Its description in RNAcentral is "partial 16S ribosomal RNA". It matches the Rfam family "Bacterial small subunit ribosomal RNA", at positions 793 to 1055 of the family's 1533-position model. The record is from RNAcentral.
GUCCACGCUGUAAACGAUGGGCACUAGGUGUCCGGGGUAUUGACCCCCUGGGUGCCGCAGCUAACGCAUUAAGUGCCCCGCCUGGGGAGUACGGUCGCAAGAUUAAAACUCAAAGGAAUUGACGGGGGCCCGCACAAGCGGUGGAGCAUGUGGUUCAAUUCGACGCAACGCGAAGAACCUUACCUGGGCUAGACAACGGUGGACAGCCCUAGAAAUAGGGUCUUCCCUUCGGGGACUGCCGGUUCAGGUGCUGCAUGGCUGUCGU